UACAGAGGGUGCGAGCGUUAAUCGGAAUUACUGGGCGUAAAGCGCGUGUAGGCGGGACCGCAAGUCAGAUGUGAAAUCCCCGGGCUCAACCCGGGAACUGCAUCUGAAACUGCGGACCUUGAGUAUUGGAGAGGGCGGCGGAAUUCCUGGUGUAGAGGUGAAAUUCGUAGAUAUCAGGAGGAACACCGGUGGCGAAGGCGGCCGCCUGGACAAUUACUGACGCUGAGACGCGAAAGCGUGGGGAGCAAACAGG
RNAcentral lists this ribosomal RNA (253 nucleotides) under uncultured bacterium. RNAcentral describes it as "partial 16S ribosomal RNA". It matches the Rfam family "Bacterial small subunit ribosomal RNA", at positions 524 to 776 of the family's 1533-position model. The record is from RNAcentral.